RNAcentral lists this small RNA (552 nucleotides) under Pan troglodytes (chimpanzee). RNAcentral's name for it is "retained intron". Lineage: Eukaryota; Metazoa; Chordata; Mammalia; Primates; Hominidae. The record is from RNAcentral.
GAAAUAUGUAUUUGUCGCAGCAAUUUUUAAAAAUAAAGUUUCCUUUCUGGUUGCAAAGGGAGAUUGGGAGAAAAGAGGAAUGAAGCGCUUGUACAAAGAAAAGAAGAAAGCUUUUUCCUAUAGAAGAUAUCAUACGGAUGCAUUGUAAAAUAUAGCUGAAUCAGCCAACACAUGCAUUAAUGUCAGCACUACUCACAGUAACCCAGAGAACAAGGUGUGGACGCACACACAGACUUCUACAAGUGACUCUGGUCUUGUGGUUCCAUAUGCUUUAACAGUGCGCCUUCUUUGUCUCCUAGUUUCGUUGAUUGCAAGGAGUGUGGCCGGAAGAUGCAUCAGAUUUGCGUUCUGCACUAUGACAUCAUUUGGCCUUCAGGUUUUGUGUGCGACAACUGCUUGAAGAAAACUGGCAGACCUCGAAAAGAAAACAAAUUCAGUGCUAAGAGGCUGCAGACCACAAGACUGGGAAACCACUUGGAAGACCGAGUGAACAAAUUUUUGCGGCGCCAGAAUCACCCUGAAGCCGGGGAGGUUUUUGUCCGAGUGGUGGCC